Non-coding RNA from Potamilus streckersoni, 77 nucleotides. Lineage: Eukaryota; Metazoa; Mollusca; Bivalvia; Unionida; Unionidae. The record is from the annotation of a GenBank genome assembly.
GACCGCUCCAAUGGCCUAGUGAUUAGAGCGUCCGCCUUGGAUGCGUUAGGUCAUGGGUUCGAACCUCAGUCCAGUCA